AAAUGCAGAAAAUACUUUCCUUCCAUAAAACAAACGAGCCUUAGACCAAAAUGCUGCUGAAGAAUCUUAUAAAAUCUAUCACUCUUCAAUAAAGCCAUCUUCAUAUUAACAUGACUACAUAGCAGUCAAUGAGACUCUAAAUAUAAUGGAACUAAAAUAAACAUACAAGUUUAAAAAUGUGACACUACAUGUGUGAUAGCAACAAAA
RNAcentral lists this unclassified non-coding RNA (207 nucleotides) under Hevea brasiliensis (rubber tree). Lineage: Eukaryota; Viridiplantae; Streptophyta; Magnoliopsida; Malpighiales; Euphorbiaceae. The record is from RNAcentral.